Molecule: ribosomal RNA, 452 nt
Filed under: uncultured bacterium
Lineage: Bacteria
Description: partial 16S ribosomal RNA
Rfam family: Bacterial small subunit ribosomal RNA
Source: RNAcentral
GAUGAACGCUGGCGGCGUGCCUAACACAUGCAAGUCGAGCGAUUUACUUCGGUAAAGAGCGGCGGACGGGUGAGUAACGCGUGGGUAACCUGCCCUGUACACACGGAUAACAUACCGAAAGGUAUGCUAAUACGAGAUAAUAUGCUUUUAUCGCAUGGUAGAAGUAUCAAAGCUUUUGCGGUACAGGAUGGACCCGCGUCUGAUUAGCUAGUUUGUGAGGUAACGGCUCACCAAGGCGACGAUCAGUAGCCGACCUGAGAGGGUGAUCGGCCACAUUGGAACUGAGACACGGUCCAAACUCCUACGGGAGGCAGCAGUGGGGAAUAUUGCACAAUGGGCGAAAGCCUGAUGCAGCAACGCCGCGUGAGCGAUGAAGGCCUUCGGGUCGUAAAGCUCUGUCCUCAAGGAAGAUAAUGACGGUACUUGAGGAGGAAGCCCCGGCUAACUACGUG